RNAcentral lists this ribosomal RNA (319 nucleotides) under uncultured eukaryote. RNAcentral's name for it is "partial 18S ribosomal RNA". It matches the Rfam family "Eukaryotic small subunit ribosomal RNA", at positions 1470 to 1796 of the family's 1831-position model. The record is from RNAcentral.
CCCUUAGAUGUUUUGGGCAGCACGCGCGCUACAAUGGUCUUCGCAAACGGAUGCAUUCUCGAAGGAGAAUGCCAAUCUUGGAAUCUAUGCCUUGGUCGGGACAGUUGCUUGCAAUUUUUCGACUCGAACCAGGAAUUCCUUGUAAUCGUGAUUCAUCACAUCACGAUGAAUACGUCCCUGCCCUUUGUACACACCGCCCGUCGCUCCUACCGAUCGAAGAGUUAGGUGAAUUGUUUUGAUCGAUAAGAUUUGACUAUGGUCAACUCUCGUUGUGAAAUUCUGUGAAUCUGACUGUUUAGAGGAAGGAAAAGUCGUAACA